Drosophila virilis is the source of this 1169-nucleotide non-coding RNA. The record is from RefSeq and is a predicted model, not a curated record. Lineage: Eukaryota; Metazoa; Arthropoda; Insecta; Diptera; Drosophilidae.
UAAUCACACAAAAUAGUUGGCUAUGCUCUAAGGUUCCCAGCCAAAAAAUGUUCUAUCUGCACAAUUUUCUGUUCAUUUUUAGCUUGCGUUUCGGUUGCCGUCUUAUAGGAUUUAUUGAGAUUUGUCUGUAUGGCUAUGGAUUCUAUUAUUUGGUUAACAAAUAUGGCUUCUCGCAAAUGCUGGAAUCGAUGAUUAUAAUAUCUCUGGGCACUUCCUGUCUGCUAUCGAUUCUGAUGUUGAUCUCUACGCUGCAGGACCACGAAUCAUCCGGCAUUAUCUUCACUUAUCUAAUGUGGGGCAUUUUCACAACAAUUUUCUUGGCCGUAUUCUACUUGAUAACCUUCAAGUCGGGCCGAAAAAUAAGUUUGGAAGUAUUCUUGGGUCUACUAUUGGGCACAACAAUUGCCAAGUGCUAUUCCAUGCUGGUGGUACUAUCAUUCCUCCAUAUGAUGGUAAGUUCCGAUAGUGAAGAUUCCUCUUAAAGACGCCUCGGACAUCAAAAUAGAGAUGGAAUAGAAAACAUUAUUCAUAUGUGAAAUGCCCAAUGUCCACUCUUAGACAGCUGUUUUAUUAAAGUGCAUUUAUAUAUUUUGUAUCUAUACAAAUAACGCUCUCUUCCUGCACGAUUGAUGAACUGACCGAUUCAUGGUCAACGCAAAGUUCAAGGUGGUAGGGAUAGAAAGCUUCUUCCAGAUGGAACUAGUAAUGGAAGCCCGUACUGAAUAUCGUAUUGAAAGAUCAAACUGGAAAAUUUUGAUUCUACAAGGAAAUAUCGAAAAAUUUUAAAAUUUUAAAAAAUAUUCACAACGCCAUUUAAGAAUUAGAGCUACAAUAUUUAAAACUAUAGGCCAGAAAACCAUUCCAGAAAUGUGCGGCUAGAACUGGAAACAAGAGUGUCGAAUGUCACUAAUGUGUCAAGAACCAGCAAAUAUUUUCAGUAAUCUGGUAUAAAUGGGAAUAGCUUGCUUUUGCUAUGGGUUCCAAUCACUAUGAUCACCAAGGAGACAUCUUCAAUAACUUAAUGACUUCUGUAUUUUCAGCCUGAGCAGGCUUUGCUAAGAAGAAAUUUGUUUGUUUCGUUUCCUCAAGUUCAGACAGUGUAUACAAUCCCACAAAGAGAUUAUAACAAAUGUAUUGAAAUUCACGAAUAAUACAAAAAUUACAAAAAA